CAGACAGUUCAAGAGCUCGUGCAACUCGUGCAAGCUCACCGCCCAAGGAUCGUCUUCCUCUCCGAGACCCAACAAUGCGAAGAUAAGGUGAAAGGAAUAAAAUGGAGGCUGGGCCUCAAGCACUGCCUGACCCAUGAUGGUAAGGGAAAGGGUGCUGGGAUGGCAUUGUUUUGGGAUGAAACAAUAAAAAUAAAACUUGUAUCGUAUGGACUGAGGCAUUUUGAUGUGAUUGUGCAUGAUGAUCCCCAUGGCCCGAAGUGGCGGGGUACCUUUGUCUAUGGAGAACCUAGAGUCCAAGAUAGGCACUUGAUGUGGUCAUUGCUUAAAAUGAUUAAACCGAGUGCUAAUGAACCAUGGUUGAUGAUCAGGGACUUAAACGAAACGAUGUGGCAGUCAGAACAUUUCUCCUAUGCAGAAAGGUCAGAGGGACAAAUGGCAAAGUUCAGGAAGUGCUUGCAAGAUUGUAAUCGCUUUGACCAGGGGUUAUCCCUGGACUUAAAAUAA
RNAcentral lists this ribosomal RNA (504 nucleotides) under Triticum aestivum (bread wheat). RNAcentral's name for it is "partial small subunit ribosomal RNA". Lineage: Eukaryota; Viridiplantae; Streptophyta; Magnoliopsida; Poales; Poaceae. The record is from RNAcentral.